GCGCCCGGUAAAGCAUGUUUUCGCAGAUAGCGGAACUUACACACCAGCGGUCAGGGGUUCGAAUCCCUUUGCGCGCACCA
Molecule: transfer RNA, 80 nt
Filed under: Gordonia terrae C-6
Lineage: Bacteria; Bacillati; Actinomycetota; Actinomycetes; Mycobacteriales; Gordoniaceae
Description: tRNA-OTHER
Source: RNAcentral